CCUACGGGCGGCUGCAGUGAGGAAUAUUGGUCAAUGGCCGUGAGUCUGAACCAGCCAAGUAGCGUGAAGGAUGACUGCCCUAUGGGUUGUAAACUUCUUUUAUAUGGGAAUAAAAUGUUCCACGUGUGGGUUUUUGUAUGUACCAUAUGAAUAAGGAUCGGCUAAUUCCGUGCCAGCAGCCGCGGUAAUACGGAGGGUCCGAGCGUUAUCCGGAUUUAUUGGGUUUAAAGGGAGCGUAGGUGGGUUGUUAAGUCAGUUGUGAAAGUUUGCGGCUCAACCGUAAGAUUGCGGUGGAAACUGGCAGUCUUGAGUGCAGGAGAGGUAGGCGGAAUUCGUGGUGUAGCGGUGAAAUGCUUAGAUAUCACGAAGAACUCCGAUUGCGAAGGCAGUUCACUGGACUGCAACUGACACUGAGGCUCGAAAGUGUGGGUAUCGAACAGGAUUAGAUACCCGUGUAGUC
This 460-nucleotide ribosomal RNA is filed under the name uncultured bacterium. RNAcentral's name for it is "partial 16S ribosomal RNA". It matches the Rfam family "Bacterial small subunit ribosomal RNA", at positions 338 to 795 of the family's 1533-position model. The record is from RNAcentral.